RNAcentral lists this ribosomal RNA (1429 nucleotides) under Lactiplantibacillus plantarum. RNAcentral describes it as "bacterial SSU rRNA". It matches the Rfam family "Bacterial small subunit ribosomal RNA". The record is from RNAcentral. Lineage: Bacteria; Bacillati; Bacillota; Bacilli; Lactobacillales; Lactobacillaceae.
ACGAACUCUGGUAUUGAUUGGUGCUUGCAUCAUGAUUUACAUUUGAGUGAGUGGCGAACUGGUGAGUAACACGUGGGAAACCUGCCCAGAAGCGGGGGAUAACACCUGGAAACAGAUGCUAAUACCGCAUAACAACUUGGACCGCAUGGUCCGAGCUUGAAAGAUGGCUUCGGCUAUCACUUUUGGAUGGUCCCGCGGCGUAUUAGCUAGAUGGUGGGGUAACGGCUCACCAUGGCAAUGAUACGUAGCCGACCUGAGAGGGUAAUCGGCCACAUUGGGACUGAGACACGGCCCAAACUCCUACGGGAGGCAGCAGUAGGGAAUCUUCCACAAUGGACGAAAGUCUGAUGGAGCAACGCCGCGUGAGUGAAGAAGGGUUUCGGCUCGUAAAACUCUGUUGUUAAAGAAGAACAUAUCUGAGAGUAACUGUUCAGGUAUUGACGGUAUUUAACCAGAAAGCCACGGCUAACUACGUGCCAGCAGCCGCGGUAAUACGUAGGUGGCAAGCGUUGUCCGGAUUUAUUGGGCGUAAAGCGAGCGCAGGCGGUUUUUUAAGUCUGAUGUGAAAGCCUUCGGCUCAACCGAAGAAGUGCAUCGGAAACUGGGAAACUUGAGUGCAGAAGAGGACAGUGGAACUCCAUGUGUAGCGGUGAAAUGCGUAGAUAUAUGGAAGAACACCAGUGGCGAAGGCGGCUGUCUGGUCUGUAACUGACGCUGAGGCUCGAAAGUAUGGGUAGCAAACAGGAUUAGAUACCCUGGUAGUCCAUACCGUAAACGAUGAAUGCUAAGUGUUGGAGGGUUUCCGCCCUUCAGUGCUGCAGCUAACGCAUUAAGCAUUCCGCCUGGGGAGUACGGCCGCAAGGCUGAAACUCAAAGGAAUUGACGGGGGCCCGCACAAGCGGUGGAGCAUGUGGUUUAAUUCGAAGCUACGCGAAGAACCUUACCAGGUCUUGACAUACUAUGCAAAUCUAAGAGAUUAGACGUUCCCUUCGGGGACAUGGAUACAGGUGGUGCAUGGUUGUCGUCAGCUCGUGUCGUGAGAUGUUGGGUUAAGUCCCGCAACGAGCGCAACCCUUAUUAUCAGUUGCCAGCAUUAAGUUGGGCACUCUGGUGAGACUGCCGGUGACAAACCGGAGGAAGGUGGGGAUGACGUCAAAUCAUCAUGCCCCUUAUGACCUGGGCUACACACGUGCUACAAUGGAUGGUACAACGAGUUGCGAACUCGCGAGAGUAAGCUAAUCUCUUAAAGCCAUUCUCAGUUCGGAUUGUAGGCUGCAACUCGCCUACAUGAAGUCGGAAUCGCUAGUAAUCGCGGAUCAGCAUGCCGCGGUGAAUACGUUCCCGGGCCUUGUACACACCGCCCGUCACACCAUGAGAGUUUGUAACACCCAAAGUCGGUGGGGUAACCUUUUAGGAACCAGCCGCCUAA